This 273-nucleotide ribosomal RNA is filed under the name uncultured bacterium. Its description in RNAcentral is "partial 16S ribosomal RNA". It matches the Rfam family "Bacterial small subunit ribosomal RNA", at positions 524 to 796 of the family's 1533-position model. The record is from RNAcentral.
UACGGAGGGUGCAAGCGUUGUCCGGAUUUAUUGGGUUUAAAGGGUGCGUAGGCGGCCCUGUAAGUCAGCGGUGAAAUCCCAGGGCUCAACCCUGGAACUGCCGUUGAUACUGCAGGGCUUGAGUUCGGUUAAGGCGGGCGGAACUGGUGGUGUAGCGGUGAAAUGCAUAGAUACCACCAAGAACCCCGAUUGCGUAGGCAGCUCGCUGAGCCGAAACUGACGCUGAGGCACGAAAGCGUGGGGAGCGAACAGGAUUAGAAACCCCCGUAGUCC